Molecule: long non-coding RNA, 542 nt
Filed under: Homo sapiens (human)
Lineage: Eukaryota; Metazoa; Chordata; Mammalia; Primates; Hominidae
Description: non-protein coding lnc-TMPRSS11A-5:1
Source: RNAcentral
UUCAUUUGAGUGGGAAUCUCAAAGCAGUUGAGUAGGCAGAAAAAAGAACCUCUUCAUUAAGGAUUAAAAUGUAUAGAUCAAAAAUCUUACUUUUAUAGGAGCAGUUUUCAACUCCUAAAUGUUGAAUAUAAUAGUCAGUUAAAUUCACCAGCUACACAGGAAUACAGGACUUUGAGUGGAAGAAUUGAAUCUCUGAUUACUAAAACAUUCAAAGAAUCAAAUUUAAGAAAUCAGUUCAUCAGAGCUCAUGUUGCCAAACUGAGAAAAGAAGACAGCCAAUGUCAGGUGGAGGAACUGGUUUAUGAGGCAAGAUGGUAGUGGUGUGAGAGCGGAUGUUGUCAUGAAAUUUCAAUUCACUAGAAAUAACAAUGGAGCAUCAAUGAAAAGCAGAAUUGAGUCUGUUUUACGACAAAUGCUGAAUAACUCUGGAAACCUGGAAAUAAACCCUUCAACUGAGAUAACAUCACUUACUGACCAGGCUGCAGCAAAUUGGCUUAUUAAUGAGAAUCCUUGGAGGCACUGAGGCUGAGGAGGGAAGCUGG